UCUGCCCUCUGGGAUUGUCCCAUGAGCACAUAUCAUGUGGUUACGUACAUUCAGAUAUUUGUUAUUUCUCCAACUCUUCUCGUUUUUCACUACUAAAGCUUUGGUGUAUGUGGUUAUGGUAUUCUUAUGGUAUUCAUUAUGCAUGUAUUAUUGCAUUUUGUUCCUGUUAUUAAUGUCAUUGUUGGAUAGAUUUCUGGUGAUGCUUUUAUUUAAGUGACUACGUGAUGAUAGGAAAUAAAUCAUAUUAAGGACAUGUGGCUUGCAAAUUUAUGAGUUCUUCCAACUUUCUUUUUUUUAAAAUAGACUUUGUGCUAUCUGUCUUUCUGAGUCUAUCUACAUCAGAAUUCGUUUUCAUAUAAGUUGCUAAUUAUAUAUUACCUCUAAUUAUAUAUCACCUCUAAUUAUAUAUUACCAUAACCCAAACAUUAGAGUCUUAUUAGGUCCCUUCCUAUUUAUUACCAAUAGACUCCAGAAACCUAUCAAUACCACCUGCCUGAAAUGUAUCUCAAAAUGCAUGCUGCAAGGGACUAGGCAAUGUCACCUUCAUUGAUUAUCAGGUAGCUCAAUUUUGCCGAAUGAUUUUUUCAGUAGAGCAUGUUGUCCUUCAGCGUCAACCCUUGAUUCUGCAGCUGCAACACGCCAACACCUACUUUUUUAGAUUGAAAUCAAUAACAAGCAGCUGACCACACAAGUGCCUAGCGCACACAUUCUUAAUAUCGUUGAAAUUCUUUAGGUUCUUUAUCUGGUCCUUGUUUUUGGCUAGAUUAUAAGAUUGUCUAUCAUUAUUUAUGCGUCUAAUGAUUUCAAACUUCUCUUUUUCAAUAUUUAUUUUGGUUGCUAAAUCGUUAAUGAUUCUAUUUAUUAUUUUAUAGAGAAAUAUGAUUUAUUUUGAAUACCAGUGGGUUGCAUCUCAUGAAGAGAAAUUCUCAGUUUACUAAUAUUAAUUGAAAUUUGUUUCCCAC
RNAcentral lists this long non-coding RNA (962 nucleotides) under Trifolium pratense (red clover). Its description in RNAcentral is "long non-coding RNA (TPRA_LNC002609)". Lineage: Eukaryota; Viridiplantae; Streptophyta; Magnoliopsida; Fabales; Fabaceae. The record is from RNAcentral.